GCUCAAAAAGUUACAACCAGACACGACUAGAAUUCGAAUUCCAAAUUACAUAGAAUCCGUAUACAAAACGAUUUAAAUAACUAAGGAAAACAUAAAGCUAUCCCCCCGUGACAAAUCGGAACAUCUCCACAAACCAAUCGGCAACUCCCGGACUCUCCCUCCGUAUCAUCAACAGACUCCCUUGUUAUAAUCAUCGGCAGACUUCCUUGUCGUAGCCAUCGGCACAGACAAAUCAUCAUCUACAGACUUAGUCACGUUCAAUCUCUCCUUCAUCGGCAACCACCCUGUAGACAAAACACCGUCGUCCUAUUCUGCCGGCC
This 320-nucleotide long non-coding RNA is filed under the name Sorghum bicolor (sorghum). Its description in RNAcentral is "long non-coding RNA (SBIC_LNC015582)". The record is from RNAcentral. Lineage: Eukaryota; Viridiplantae; Streptophyta; Magnoliopsida; Poales; Poaceae.